GUUAACUUCAACGACAAGCCUGUAUGGGAAGGCCGAAAAAUAGGCCGAAAAGUAAACAUUAGUGUAGCCCUGGAUUAACGUUAGCGGCAGUAAAGAGUGCGACAAUCUAUAGACAAUCAGGUUUUAAAAGAAUUGACCUAUACUUGACCUUUUCCAAGGGUCAUAUCAAGCCGUCCUCCAUUUUAUUCGGAGUGACCCGGUCGCAUGGUCCAGGGCAUGGCGUGAACCAGGGCGUGAAUAAUCUGUUGACAACCUCCAGGGUUUUCUGGAUACAUGCAGCCCUAAGAUGGACGUCCUGAGCAGGUCGGCCCGAAACUGCAAUCAGCCGAUACCCAACUAAUGCCAAACCUGUAGAUGCACUGCAGUUCAGUCCCACGAGAUUCACGAACUAUGGGCCCACUUUCUACAAACCGCCCACCCACCACCUCCGUCUGCGGAAUACAGGCACCGGCAUUGAGACGCUUCUACAACC
Molecule: long non-coding RNA, 472 nt
Organism: Branchiostoma floridae (Florida lancelet)
Lineage: Eukaryota; Metazoa; Chordata; Leptocardii; Amphioxiformes; Branchiostomatidae
Exons: 4
Source: RefSeq, a predicted model, not a curated record